RNAcentral lists this ribosomal RNA (372 nucleotides) under uncultured bacterium. Its description in RNAcentral is "bacterial SSU rRNA". It matches the Rfam family "Bacterial small subunit ribosomal RNA", at positions 527 to 896 of the family's 1533-position model. The record is from RNAcentral.
GAACCGUGCGAACGUUAUUCGGAAUCACUGGGCUUAAAGCGCGUGUAGGCGGGCCGGCACGUUCGCCGCUGAAAUCCCCCGGCUCAACCGGGGAAGGGGCGCGAAUACGGCCGGCCUGGAGGGGGGUAGGGGGCGCCGGAACUCACGGUGGAGCGGUGAAAUGCGUUGAGAUCGUGAGGAACGCCCGUGGCGAAAGCGGGCGCCUGGACCCCACCUGACGCUGAGACGCGAAAGCCAGGGGAGCGAACGGGAUUAGAUACCCCGGUAGUCCUGGCCGUAAACCAUGAGCACUGGGUAGGGGGCUCGCCGAUGGGCUCCCUGCCGCAGCGAAAGCGUGAAGUGCUCCGCCUGGGGAGUAUGGUCGCAAGGCUG